GGCUGCUUGCUUGCUUGCUUAAGAACCUUAUGCCUCAGACACAGAGGGAGUGACCAGUGACUCAGCAAUGACAUUGUGGAGGAGUAGGAGCACCCAAGUGAGUGGGUUGCUGCAAUGGCAGUGAGGUGCUGUAGCACCAACCAGUGGCAAUGUUGCUAUGGAGAGGGGCCCUGCUGUGGGCAUGGUGUCUAGAACCCCAGUUUAGCCAUCACUGCAUGUAUUUAUGGCCGAUAGAGAUGGUGGUACUGCUCCUGAUAGCAUUCAUUACUUGGAAACAAAAUGUCAUCACAAUAACCAGCUUCACUGUAGCUCAGACAGAUAUGUAGUUCUUCUUCUAAACUUCUGUUCUCCUAUAAGAUCAGCAUUCUGGAACACUAGUCAGUGCAUAAAUCCAUGAAAGGGCUAUCCUUGUGUGCAUGUUCAUAACUCCAAUAUUUACUGGCUGGAGGAACAUGAGGAUAUUCUAGGUGUGUAACUACAGCCAGUGAACUUUUUCUCAGUCCAGGAGCAACCCAUUAGUGUGGAAAGGAAAGCCUGACACCCACUCUCUUAUAAUAAUGUGUGAAGAAAGAUGUGGACAAUCAGCUAUGGAUUCAAUCUUGAAAACAUUGGCUCAAACAGAAAUGAUCUCACUAUCAAUGAUGAGCGUGGAAAGGCACUGAGUACUAAGCUACCUAAUAUACCCCAUUACAUGCAGUAAGAUCCAAAUGGUCACUUUAGAUAGGGAAAUGCCCACUAGGAGUGGGUGAUUUGUAGAAGAGAAGAGGCAGAAGGGGUGGUGCUUAGUCCACCAUAGAGACAUACACUAUGCAACUUCCUUUCUGCUGUGUUUCAGAUGCAUUCAAGGUAAAACACACUAACACAUUGAAUCCCUUAGUGGAAAAGCCCCUGGUGGAGGAGAAUUUGGAGGGGAAAGCAGAGGGUGAUGGAGGGUUAAGCAAAGAAGCACCCCAUCCCAUUGACUUAUCCACUGCAAAUAAGCAAAAGUUGAUUAGCUCUAGGAAAACAGCAUUGGAGUGUAACAUGUAGUUCUGCCCUUGGGUUCAGGCCUCCAGAUGAGUACUUUCUUAAAGGGUAAAGCUGUGGUGCCUCUCCUUUUAAAAAUUAACCACUGGUGGUGUGUAGCAGAUGAGUCCAGUUACCUACAGUCCACAAACAAUGGGACCCCUAAGGAAGCAGAAGUAAGUAGCUGACAUGAGCACAGUGAUCAAAUGGAUUGUUUCCCACUUGCAGAACAGCUGACAUUUCAUUAACAGCUGACAUUUCAUUAACAGCAAUAUCUACUUUGUUUGGCUCUCCCUGAGUCAGUUCUAUCUUUAUUCUAUACUUGAUUUAUGCUUCUCACAAUGAUCCAUCUCUAUAUAUGAUUUAUGCCCUGGAGACCUCUCUAUUUUGGGCAAAUUUCACAUUCCCCAAACUGUUUCAAUUAUGAGAAUAGCUGUACUUUGAAGCUCCCCCAUAUAAUUUCUGUUGGAAGGGAGUGCGAAGAAUCACAAACUACUUUUCACACUAAAAAUGCUGUGCUAUAGAUUAAUACAGUAUAAUGCACCUUCCAGCUCCUCUGAGGCUGCAGAUGCUGCUGUUACUGUUGCAAUUACACAAGCAUUGUGAGCGCCUCACAAGCCAACAAUAGCGGCUACACAGUCCUGCUGGAUUCCCUCCCGCGCUGCAUCUCAUUUUCAUUUCCUGCAAUGGGUGACCCAAUUUAUCCUACAGCUUAAUUAAAAACAACAAUAGCAGCACCUUCUUGUCUAGGAAGCUCAAUUAUUCGAAACUGAGUCAUUUUACAUGAACAAUUCCAAUACUACAGCCAGUACACUUUAGCUCUGGUAUAAGCCUCUGGGGAAUUGCUCAUGUAACCAAAUACUCCUACUGGUGCUCCCUUGCCUUCUCUUAGCAUUCAGUCAUGAACUCGCAAUCUCCGUGAGCUGGCAGUUCUUUGCAAAGCCAUCUGAGUAGCACACAUCCUAAGGGCUGCUUUCUCUCUGCCAAAGAAAUCUUAAUGAAGGGAAACCACCAUUAGUAGUUACAUUCAAUAUGAUGGAUGUCAUGGUGGAGGUGAGCAGCCAAUUGCUGUUCUAAUGCCCCAGGGUGUCAUCCAAGAUUGAUUGGUAACAGUCACAGUUCAGCCCCUUCCUUGUAGCUGGUUCUAGUUUGGUAGGCAUUUUAUGCACAGCUUGGAUGAUACCUGUGAUGGCAGGUGAAUUGUCUGGGUUUUCAGGAGGGCAAGAUUGAGCUCCAGGGUGUCUGUGCUCACAAUUUAUAAAAGAGAAUAAAAUGAGGUGAUAGCAUGUUCUCUCCCUCUCCCUCUCUCUGCCCACCUCUCUCCUUCAAUGUGUCUUGGAUAUGCUUGUUUGUGAUUGCCAGGGAUUAGUGGGCACAUUUGCAGGACCAUGUUCAGGGCUACUUGUUGCCACCUGCAGACCCAAUGUUUGGGACAAAUGCCCCACUGCCUCUAUAUGCCUACUCCUAGAGCAACUGGAAAUUCAGCUUCUUUUCUCCCUCCCUCCUUUUGAUAAUUCCUCCUAGGUUAUUCUCUUUCCCAGUGAGGCUAUUUUAUCAUGGCAAACACGUUCCCAGUGUGGACAUUAAUCAAUGGCAAAUUAGAAUGGAAUUGAUAUAUGCAUAUGACAUGCACAUUAAUUUUAAAUGUGUUUAUUGUAAUUAGUGUCAUUACAAUGAAUGCCAGUGGAAUCAGCAAGUGAUUAACCUCAUUUAUGAUUGGUUACAGUUUGUUUUUUGUAAAGUUCAACUUUAAAAUUAGCACAUCAAAAUGUCUCUGUGUUAUUUAGGAUAGUUACUGGAGUGAAUGCAUAACUAUUUCAAAGUAUAUUAAUAAAUAUUGACAGCUUGUCCAAAUUUACUUUUUUUUAAAAGA
This is a non-coding RNA of Podarcis lilfordi (Lilford's wall lizard), 2878 nucleotides long. NCBI's taxonomy places the organism in Eukaryota, Metazoa, Chordata, Lepidosauria, Squamata, Lacertidae. The record is from the annotation of a GenBank genome assembly.